GUGUUGGUCCUGUGCGACGGAGCGCCGCGAACCAUGUCAGGCGGGGAACCGAGCAGCAUUAAGCGGUCAGCCCGUGCGACACAGUCCGCCUGCACACC
RNAcentral lists this signal recognition particle RNA (98 nucleotides) under Clostridia bacterium. Its description in RNAcentral is "signal recognition particle sRNA small type". It matches the Rfam family "Bacterial small signal recognition particle RNA". Rfam says of the family: The signal recognition particle (SRP) is a universally conserved ribonucleoprotein involved in the co-translational targeting of proteins to membranes. Archaeal SRP consists of a 7S RNA and homologues of the eukaryotic SRP19 and SRP54 proteins. The record is from RNAcentral. Lineage: Bacteria; Bacillati; Bacillota; Clostridia.